Molecule: ribosomal RNA, 252 nt
Filed under: uncultured bacterium
Lineage: Bacteria
Description: partial 16S ribosomal RNA
Rfam family: Bacterial small subunit ribosomal RNA
Source: RNAcentral
UACGGAGGGGGCUAGCGUUAAUCGGAAUUACUGGGCGUAAAGCGUGCGCAGGCGGUGAUGUAAGACAGAGGUGAAAUCCCCGGGCUCAACCUGGGAACUGCUUUGUGACUGCAUCGCUAGAGUACGGUAGAGGGGGGUGGAAUUCCGCGUGUAGCAGUGAAAUGCGUAGAUAUGCGGAGGAACACCGAUGGCGAAGGCAAUCCCCUGGGCCUGUACUGACGCUCAUGCACGAAAGCGUGGGGAGCAAACAGG